GAUGAACGCUGGCGGCGUGCUUAACACAUGCAAGUCGAACGGAAAGGCCCAAGCUUGCUUGGGUACUCGAGUGGCGAACGGGUGAGUAACACGUGGGUGAUCUGCCCUGCACUUCGGGAUAAGCCUGGGAAACUGGGUCUAAUAACGGAUAGGACGAUGGUUUGGAUGCCAUUGUGGAAAGUUUUUUCGGUGUGGGAUGAGCUCGCGGCCUAUCAGCUUGUUGGUGGGGUAAUGGCCUACCAAGGCGUCGACGGGUAGCCGGCCUGAGAGGGUGUACGGCCACAUUGUGACUGUGAAACGGCGCAGACUCCUACGGGAGGCAGCAGUGGGGAAUAUGGCACAAUGGGCGCAAGCCUGAUGCAGCGACGCCGCGUGGGGGAUGACGGCCUUCGGGUUGUAAACUCCUGUCGCUAGGGACGAAGCGUUUUUGUGACGGUACCUGAAGAAGAAGCACCGGCUAACUACGUG
RNAcentral lists this ribosomal RNA (468 nucleotides) under uncultured bacterium. RNAcentral's name for it is "partial 16S ribosomal RNA". It matches the Rfam family "Bacterial small subunit ribosomal RNA", at positions 28 to 507 of the family's 1533-position model. The record is from RNAcentral.